GAAUUCAGAGAACACACACACACACAUGGUCUCUUCUCCCAGCCCCAGCCACACCACCCCUCACACAGCUCCUGAACUACAAGAAGGCUUUUCACCAGCACUGCACCAAGAACUCUUCACGGGGAUGAUUCAAACCAAGGCUCCAUCAUUUCUGAAUCUGUGUGACUUUGGGUGCCCUCCAUAACCAUUCUGUGCCUUCAUUUCCUCAUCUAUAACCAGGAAUCCUAACUCAUGGGGAAUGUGAGGAUUAAAUGAGUCAACUCACCUUACAGUACCUGGCCCACAGCAGACACCCUGCUUGGUGAUUCUCAUGUGCAGCCAAGACUGAGAACCUCAUGAAGACAGAUAAGCAGGGCUACUCCCGAGGGUGAGUGCUCAGCUUUUAUUGGAAGCAGGCUUGGCCUGAGUGCAUCUGAAUUCAUCCUUCCUGGUGCCCAAACCAGCCCAGAGAAUUCCUGUGGCUGGAGUGACCCAUACAGACAAUGUUAUAGAAAGGAUGCCAGCAACUAACGGGGCACAGAACUACAGGAGUGGGCAGGCUGUAAGGGCUCCCUAACUGAGAAUGCCGUGUCUCCAUGCAACACCCUGGGUCUGCCUCUAAUGCCUGGAGUCUUUCCUGUUCCAAGAACCAGCAAGGCUGUGGUCAUGUGAAAAGCAUUCUUGGGGGUUGUGUGUGCACAGCCAACAUGACUGCACACAAGGGCCUCGACCAAAGGCAGUACACACAAUGUCUGGCAUCUCUCAGGACAGUGAUCCAAAACACGUGUUUGGCCAAGGCUCAGGAAGACCCCACACUAAUAGGCCCCACCACGCCAUCAGCCAGGAGGGAAGCCUGCCUGUCCCCGUCCUCACCGAAGGAUGGUCACCAACAGGAGAAGCUGCUCUAGAAGCACGGGAGGAAGACGCUCAGCCCAGAUCCACUCCAGAUCCCACAAAUAGGCUUGAGCAGGCUUGGGCAAAGCGUGGAUUAUGGCUCUAUUUAGGAUGCCUGGGGCUCGUUCAUCCUGACAGCGCAGGAGACCUGGCGGGUCCAAGCAGAGGAAUCAACAUGAGCAGAAGAAUGGUGGUGCAAGGCAGCCAGUGUGUUUGGGAAAUGUGAGAAGGUCAGCAGGGCUCGAGGAAGUUCUAGAGAACACAGAGGAGAGCCGCAGCAGUCUACAGAGCUGGGGGCGGAGGCCACCACAUGCCAGCCCGAGGAGCCUGGGUGCUAUCCUGGAUGACAGAGAGCAUGACCUUAACUUGUCACCCACGCAGGAGACAGUCACCAGCUGCUUCAGUGUUGAACCUCCCAGGUGGACGGCAGCGAAGGUCUCCUGCCGAGGCCUCACUGGGAGCGCCACUUCACACCUCCCCUGUCACCUGCUGCCCAAAGGCCCUUUUCCCCCUCACAGGGGAAUAAAGCACUGCCAGCCUUUUAACCCCAGGUCUGCAUUAUCUCCCUAAUCCCCACAUCUCAGCAUUUCUCCGGUGCACCUCCUACAGGGCUGAGCAAGCCCACUUCACGCCCUCGACUGGCCGCCAGCAAGCACAGGCAAGCACCCACGGAGGCCUGAAAGCGUCUCCGUUUGUGUUUACAUAUUGGCUCAUUCCAAUCCACCAGGCAACCAACAUUUCCUGAGGGCCUACUGUGUGCCAGACUCUGAUGAGAGUACACAGCACUGUGAAAUACAAGAUUACUGCCUCAGCGGAUCAACAAGAUUUCAUCUCAUGAAAACACAGCCACACACGCUGUUAGGG
This is a long non-coding RNA of Bos taurus (domestic cattle), 1737 nucleotides long. Lineage: Eukaryota; Metazoa; Chordata; Mammalia; Artiodactyla; Bovidae. The record is from Ensembl.